Molecule: long non-coding RNA, 1757 nt
Organism: Branchiostoma belcheri (Belcher's lancelet)
Lineage: Eukaryota; Metazoa; Chordata; Leptocardii; Amphioxiformes; Branchiostomatidae
Exons: 4
Source: RefSeq, a predicted model, not a curated record
GCCGCCAUAAUGACACGUUGUUAUAUACCGCUGUUUUCCUACAGGCCCACAGAUCUCAUCGAGGGAAUCUGUCCCAUCGCGGACGGCCCUGGCGUUUCUCACAGGGGUUGACAGCUUCUAACAAGACAUAAAACAGAUGAUGAACCACCGCUUGAGCACUACGUAUACUGACCGUAUGGCUUGCGACUACGUGAUGAUUCAUAGCAGGUAUUAGGAAAUCAGCAGAAACAAAUUACAGGCCGGACUCAGUACAGCACAGGCUGCCUAUCUCCUUGCCAAUCUCGCAGCAGAUUGGUCAGGGGCAGUGGCUGUACUUGCCACCAACAACAGAACUGUCAACCUCCAGGACAGGGAGGGCCACGGCAAGGCAGUCGACAUGCUCGUGGAGCAUUACAACAAGAUACUCAAGAAUGUCCUAAAAAGGUCAGGUGGCCAUCUCACCUACAAGCACGCAAAAGAAGUGUCACUAGCCGUUCCGCUGUUGGACGAGGCUCGUCGGUUCUGCAGCAAGCUGUUCGGGACACAACAGACAGUGGGACACACGUCACCGGAUAUCACCACCAUGAUAGGACGGCUGUUAGAUGGUAAAGUUUACUGUGUUAGCCCAGGACGGCGUCUUGAAUCGGGACUAACGUUUGAGGAUACUGUGUCAAAGGGGUUCGGUAAAGUAACUGAGGGCAAGUGGUUAGAGCAGUUUCUACAGAAGGGCAACAUCGCUGAAACAGACACAGAGCCUGAAGACACAGACGACGAUGAUGUUGCUGAAACUGAUGCUCUGAUAGUUGAAUGAAGUGCUAAAGGGCAACAUUUUAUCAAUGAUUGUUAUUGGUGAUAUCCCGCAGAACAGAUGCUGAUCUCGUAUUACGUUUUUCUGGGAUAAGACUGACAAUUGUUGUAAGGAUGAUUUGUAGAUGGUUCUGUGAAAAAUGUGUUAACCAUAUUACUGAUCUAAGUUUCGACUGACGACAGAUCUUCGGUGGCCGGUUGGAUACUGUCGGCCGGCUGGAUACUGUCCGCUAUACUAUGAGAGACAAACGUGGUGUGUGGAGAGGCGAGUGCCGCUCAUGUAACGAAUGCGUUUGACGCAGUGGUGGGAAGGACAGCAUGCGCUAGCUAUCGGAACCAAUCAUGCCGGCUCUUACAUCGGCUGUUCAGUGACAAAUAAAAACAAACAUGGCGUCGUCUUGGGAAGAGAAUUUUUGCGAGUUCUUUGUAUUGAAGAGCCUGCAUGACCAUCAAAAGUCCACUCUGGAGUUUUUGAUGAGUGGAAAGGACGUGUUCCUAAGUGUGCGAACGGGCGGGGGGAAAAGCCUAUGUUUCAUGGGCUUUCCAGUCGCAGCAAGACUCGCAAGAACCAGGAAAGAGUCGCGCGCUAGCAGCUGUGCAACUGCAAAAGCAGAGGCGAUCCACUUCCCCCUACGAAGAGAAAGUGGCGGAACCUAGAGCGGCGUAUCCGCAGGCUAAAGAGAGAGUACAAUAGAUAGGUGAAAGAUCCCUGAGGCGGUAUUGGAACGCCGUACUCUACUGUAUAAAACCGUAUGUGUAAUAUGUUAAGGGACCUUGUUCGAGACCCACCAUAGUGUUGAUUUCAAACUUAUGUUUUACCUUACAUAAUUUGUUGUUUUGUACAAGAGAUCCUUCGGGAGUGUUAAGGUAAACCCGCCAAAGUGUUGAUUUCAAACUUAUGUUUUAUCUCACAUAAUAUGUUGUUUUGUACAAGAGAUCCUUCGGGAGUGUUAAGGUAAACCCGCCAAAGU